GAGGGUGCGGUCCGCGCUGGGCGAGGCUUCCUGCGGGCACCGGCGCGCUCGGCCUCCGCUCCUGGGCGCUGCAGUUCUCCCUCUCCUUGCCAGCCCAGAGAUAAAUAGACGGCCAGAAAGAAAAGAAAAGAAGAAAACAUCUCUAGAGCUCUGCGCGGGGAGGACAGUAGCCGCGGCAGCUGUGGUUUCUGAUAGCUAAUUAACACCUCAGCAUUACAAUUCUGCUUUCCAUAAACUUCUGUGCAGAAAUCUAGGGAAUCCAAAAGAAUUGGAGAGUGCUGAGCUCCCUGGAGUCUGAAGCCUGGAGAAACCAUCCAGAAGGCUGUAGCUAUUCAUCUCAAAGGAGCAGAUGUUGUCCCUCCCCAAGGAGUUAUUAUGGGUUGGAAGAAAUGAGAAAAUGAAUAUAAACAAGUUAUUUUGUGAAUGUUAUCAAAUACGAUCAGCACCAACCAAACAGAGCUCUAAAUGCGAAAAAGCAAGUGGACUCAAUGUGGAUGAAGUGUGGAGGGGAUUUUGAGACAUGAAGCUUGAAAUACAGUUGACCCUUGAACAAGGUGCCAUAACCUUUCACCUGGGUUCCUUAGCUCUUGUGAAGGUAUCUUCAUGCAUGGAUGGUAGUUCAAACUGAUGUUUCUUUGAAAGAUCUUAUGGGCUACUUAGGAGACAGCAAGUAAUAGAGCUAUUGAAAUAGAAUCUGCAGUGUGAAGACAUAGAGUGUGGAAGGUAUGGAAGCACAGGGAAAUCCAUCCGUAUGAGUUUCCCGUUACUACUGCAACAGACUGCUACAAAUUGAGUGGCUUAAAACAACACAAAUGGAUUAUUUUAUAGUUCUGGAGUUUAGAAGUCCGAAAUGAGUUUUACCAGGCUAAAUCAAGGAGUGUGCGGAGCCGUGCUCCUGUGGACACUCUAUGCAAGAAUAUGUUUUCUUGCCUUUUCCAGCUUCUGGAGCAUCCAGUCACAUUGCCUCUGAUUCUGACUCUCUUGACUCCUUCUUAUUGGGAUCCUUGUGAUCACACUGCUCAUCUGCAUCAUCUAAGAGUAUUUCCCCAUCUCAGUAUUCUUCACUUAAUCACAUCUGCAAAGUCCUGUGGCCACACAAGGUCACAUAUUCACAGGUACGGGGCAUUAAUGACAUGGACAUUUCGGGGAGCCAGUACUCUGCCUCUCACAUCAUCUCAUCCAGACUUGGGGAAUCAGGGAGGCUUCCUAGAAAAAAACUUCUGAACUGAAACUUAACUGAUAAAAUAUUAUAUUUCCAGAAAAUGUGGGAUAAGUGAAGGAGGAGGGUCAGUCACAGUGAAAAGAAGACUUCCUAAACAGAGGAAAACGGAGAUGACUCAGAGCUGAACCAAAGAAAGUGCUUCAGCCAGAAAUAAACCCAAGCAUUUGCAGUCAAUUGAUUUUCAACAAAGGCACCAAGAACACACAAUGGGGAGAAUCUCAAUAUAUGGAGUUGGAAAAACUGGAUAUCCACAUGCACAAGAAUGAAAAUGGGCCCUCAUUUCACACCACAUACAAAAAUCAACUGAAGAUGGAUUAAUGGCCUUGGUGCAGUGGCUCACGCCUGU
Molecule: long non-coding RNA, 1568 nt
Organism: Cercocebus atys (sooty mangabey)
Lineage: Eukaryota; Metazoa; Chordata; Mammalia; Primates; Cercopithecidae
Exons: 5
Source: RefSeq, a predicted model, not a curated record